AUUGAACGCUGGCGGCAGGCCUAACACAUGCAAGUCGAACGAGUGGCGGACGGGGGAGUAAUGUCUGGGAAACUGCCCGAUGGAGGGGGAUAACUACUGGAAACGGUAGCUAAUACCGCAUACCAUCGGAUGUGCCCAGAGGGGAUUAGCUAGUAGGUGGGGUAACGGCUCACCGAGGCGACGAUCCCUAGCUGGGCGGAGAGGAUGACCAGCCACACUGGGACUUGGACACGGUCCAGACUCCGCCGGCAGGCAGCAGUGGGGAAUAUUGCACAAUGGGCGCAAGCCUGAUGCAGCCAUGCCGCGUGUAUGAAGAAGGCCUUCGGGUUGUAAAGUUCUUUCAGCUAGGAGGCGUUACUCGCAGAAGAAGCACCGGCUAACUCCGUGCCAGCAGCCGCGGUAAUAC
This 406-nucleotide ribosomal RNA is filed under the name uncultured bacterium. Its description in RNAcentral is "partial 16S ribosomal RNA". It matches the Rfam family "Bacterial small subunit ribosomal RNA", at positions 29 to 526 of the family's 1533-position model. The record is from RNAcentral.